This 465-nucleotide ribosomal RNA is filed under the name Exiguobacterium indicum. Its description in RNAcentral is "bacterial SSU rRNA". It matches the Rfam family "Bacterial small subunit ribosomal RNA", at positions 119 to 572 of the family's 1533-position model. The record is from RNAcentral. Lineage: Bacteria; Bacillati; Bacillota; Bacilli; Caryophanales.
AAGGAACCUGCCUCAAGGAUUGGGAUAACUCCGAGAAAUCGGAGCUAAUACCGGAUAGUUCAUCGGACCGCAUGGUCCGUUGAUGAAAGGCGCUCCGGCGUCACCUUGAGAUGGCCUUGCGGUGCAUUAGCUAGUUGGUGGGGUAACGGCCCACCAAGGCGACGAUGCAUAGCCGACCUGAGAGGGUGAUCGGCCACACUGGGACUGAGACACGGCCCAGACUCCUACGGGAGGCAGCAGUAGGGAAUCUUCCACAAUGGACGAAAGUCUGAUGGAGCAACGCCGCGUGAGUGAUGAAGGUUUUCGGAUCGUAAAACUCUGUUGUAAGGGAAGAACACGUACGAGAGGAAAUGCUCGUACCUUGACGGUACCUUACGAGAAAGCCACGGCUAACUACGUGCCAGCAGCCGCGGUAAUACGUAGGUGGCAAGCGUUGUCCGGAAUUAUUGGGCGUAAAGCGCGCGC